This 484-nucleotide ribosomal RNA is filed under the name uncultured bacterium. RNAcentral describes it as "partial 16S ribosomal RNA". It matches the Rfam family "Bacterial small subunit ribosomal RNA", at positions 30 to 507 of the family's 1533-position model. The record is from RNAcentral.
AUUGAACGCUGGCGGCAGGCCUAACACAUGCAAGUCGAGCGGAUGAAGGGAGCUUGCUCCUGGAUUCAGCGGCGGACGGGUGAGUAAUGCCUAGGAAUCUGCCUGGUAGUGGGGGAUAACGUCCGGAAACGGGCGCUAAUACCGCAUACGUCCUGAGGGAGAAAGUGGGGGAUCUUCGGACCUCACGCUAUCAGAUGAGCCUAGGUCGGAUUAGCUAGUUGGUGGGGUAAAGGCCUACCAAGGCGACGAUACGUAACUGGUCUGAGGGGAUGAUCAGUUACCAUGGAACUGAGACACGGUCCAGACUCCUACGGGAGGCAGCAGUGGGGAAUAUUGGACGAUGGGCGAAAGCCUGAUCCAGCCAUGCCGCGUGUGUGAAGAAGGUCUUCGGAUUGUAAAGCACUUUAAGUUGGGAGGAAGGGCAGUAAGUUAAUACCUUGCUGUUUUGACGUUACCAACAGAAUAAGCACCGGCUAACUUCGUG